Molecule: ribosomal RNA, 1488 nt
Filed under: metagenome
Description: bacterial SSU rRNA
Rfam family: Bacterial small subunit ribosomal RNA
Source: RNAcentral
AGAGUUUGAUCCUGGCUCAGGAUGAACGCUGGCGGCGUGCCUAACACAUGCAAGUCGAGCGGGAAAUCCGUGACGGAUCCUUCGGGUGACGGAUCGGAUGGAGAGCGGCGGACGGGUGAGUAACGCGUAGGUAACCUGCCCUGUACAGAGGGAUAGCCACUGGAAACGGUGAUUAAUACCUCAUAAUGCCGGAUCUGCACAUGCAGGACCGGUCAAAGUUUUUUCGGUACAGGAUGGACCUGCGUCUGGUUAGCUUGUUGGUGGGGUAACGGCUUACCAAGGCGACGAUCAGUAGCCGACCUGAGAGGGUGAUCGGCCACAUUGGAACUGAGACACGGUCCAAACUCCUACGGGAGGCAGCAGUGGGGAAUAUUGCACAAUGGGGGAAACCCUGAUGCAGCAACGCCGCGUGAACGAAGAAGGCUCUUGGGUCGUAAAGUUCUGUUCUGAGGGAAGAAGAAAGUGACGGUACCUCAGGAGAAAGCCCCGGCUAACUACGUGCCAGCAGCCGCGGUAAUACGUAGGGGGCAAGCGUUGUCCGGAAUUAUUGGGCGUAAAGAGUACGUAGGCGGUCUGGUAAGCGCAAGGUGAAAGGCAUAGGCUCAACCAAUGUCAGCCUUGCGAACUGUCAGACUUGAGUGCAGGAGGGGAAAGUGGAAUUCCUAGUGUAGCGGUGAAAUGCGUAGAUAUUAGGAGGAACACCAGUGGCGAAGGCGACUUUCUGGACUGUAACUGACGCUGAGGUACGAAAGCGUGGGGAGCAAACAGGAUUAGAUACCCUGGUAGUCCACGCCGUAAACGAUGAGCACUAGGUGUCGGGGCCGCAGGGCUUCGGCGCCGCAGUUAACGCAUUAAGUGCUCCGCCUGGGGAGUACGCACGCAAGUGUGAAACUCAAAGGAAUCGACGGGGGCCCGCACAAGCGGUGGAGCAUGUGGUUUAAUUCGAAGCAACGCGAAGAACCUUACCAGGUCUUGACAUCUUCUGACAAUUCCAGAGAUGGAACGUUCCCUUCGGGGACAGAAUGACAGGUGGUGCAUGGUUGUCGUCAGCUCGUGUCGUGAGAUGUUGGGUUAAGUCCCGCAACGAGCGCAACCCUUAUUGUCAGUUGCCAUCAUUAAGUUGGGCACUCUGGCGAGACUGCCGGUGACAAACCGGAGGAAGGUGGGGAUGACGUCAAAUCAUCAUGCCCCUUAUGACCUGGGCUACACACGUGCUACAAUGGACGGUACAACGAGUCGCUAACUCGCGAGGGCAAGCUAAUCUCUUAAAGCCGUUCUCAGUUCGGAUUGCAGGCUGCAACUCGCCUGCAUGAAGUCGGAAUCGCUAGUAAUCGCGAAUCAGCAUGUCGCGGUGAAUACGUUCCCGGGCCUUGUACACACCGCCCGUCACACCAUGAGAGUUUGUAACACCCAAAGUCGGUGGGGUAACCUUUUGGAGCCAGCCGCCUAAGGUGGGACAGAUGAUUGGGGUGGAGUCGUAACAAGGUA